RNAcentral lists this ribosomal RNA (253 nucleotides) under uncultured bacterium. RNAcentral describes it as "partial 16S ribosomal RNA". It matches the Rfam family "Bacterial small subunit ribosomal RNA", at positions 524 to 776 of the family's 1533-position model. The record is from RNAcentral.
UACGUAGGGUGCAAGCGUUAUUCGGAAUUACUGGGCGUAAAGCGUGCGCAGGCGGUUUUGUAAGUCUGUCGUGAAAUCCCCGGGCUCAACCUGGGAAUGGCGAUGGAGACUGCAAGGCUAGAAUCUGGCAGAGGGGGGUAGAAUUCCACGUGUAGCAGUGAAAUGCGUAGAUAUGUGGAGGAACACCGAUGGCGAAGGCAGCCCCCUGGGCUAAGAUUGACGCUCAUGCACGAAAGCGUGGGGAGCAAACAGG